This is a non-coding RNA of Cordylochernes scorpioides, 73 nucleotides long. Lineage: Eukaryota; Metazoa; Arthropoda; Arachnida; Pseudoscorpiones; Chernetidae. The record is from the annotation of a GenBank genome assembly.
UCCAGGGUAGCCGAGUGGAAAUGGCAUCUGCCCCUUAAGCGGAACAUUGUGGGUUCGAUUCCCAUCCUUGGAC